This 473-nucleotide unclassified non-coding RNA is filed under the name Hevea brasiliensis (rubber tree). Lineage: Eukaryota; Viridiplantae; Streptophyta; Magnoliopsida; Malpighiales; Euphorbiaceae. The record is from RNAcentral.
ACAGUGUAUCAGGCCAUGCUGAUGGACUGGAUGAGGAAUCUUGAAGCUGGCGUUCCUGCUCUUCUUGAGGAUGGAAUCAAGUUGCUUGUGUAUGCUGGAGAAUAUGAUCUUAUCUGUAACUGGCUCGGAAAUUCAAGAUGGGUUCAUGCAAUGGAAUGGUCUGGUCAGAAAGAUUUUGUGGCAUCUUCUGAAGUUCCUUUUGAAGUUGAUGGUUCAGAAGCGGGAGUAUUGAGAAGCCAUGGACCUCUCGCUUUCCUCAAGGUCAACAAUGCAGGGCACAUGGUUCCCAUGGAUCAACCCAAGGCUUCAUUAGAGAUGCUGAAGAGGUGGACUCAUGGAAAACUGUCUGAAGGCACAGCUUAUCCAGAAAAACUGGUUUCUGAGAUGUAAUGCACUGUUAUUUGGUGUUAAGAAGUAUAUAUUUGCUGUUGGUUUUAAACAGAAUUCUAUAUGAUGUCUGUACCUGGAGGAAA